UCAGGGGAUAGUAUAUAUUAGUAUAUUUUGUUUACACCAAAAAAGAGAGGUUUUUUCUCCUCUGAU
RNAcentral lists this transfer RNA (66 nucleotides) under Marcia recens. RNAcentral's name for it is "tRNA-Val". Lineage: Eukaryota; Metazoa; Mollusca; Bivalvia; Venerida; Veneridae. The record is from RNAcentral.